AGGAGGGAUAUUAAGAGGAGAAACUCCUGGUCCUUAUGUGAACCGUUCCUUUAGUUGAUUAGGCGGGAACGCCCCGGCGCCCUGCGCCCGGAUCCAGGCGCCCGCCGGAGACCCCAAACUCUUGUGUUUUUUUCAGUAUUCUCUGAGUGGCAAACGCAAAAAUAAAUCAAAACUUUUAACAACGGAUCUCUUGGCUCUGGCAUCGAUGAAGAACGCAGCGAAAUGCGAUAAGUAAUGUGAAUUGCAGAAUUCAGUGAAUCAUCGAAUCUUUGAACGCACAUUGCGCCCGUUAGCAUUCUAGCGGGCAUGCCUGUCCGAGCGUCAUUUCAACCCUCAGGGUCCCCGUUCCGGCGGGGAACCUGGUGUUGGGGAUCGGCCCGCCCCGUGCGGCGCCGUCCCCCAAAUUCAGUGGCGGUCUCGCUGCAGCCUCCCCUGCGUAGUAGUUACAACCUCGCAUCGGAGCUCAGCGCGGCCACGCCGUAAAACCCCCGACUUUCUGAACGUUGACCUCGGAUCAGGUAGGAAUACCCGCUGAACUUAAGCAUAUCAAUAAGCGGAGGA
RNAcentral lists this ribosomal RNA (561 nucleotides) under Stachybotrys sp. HZ-27. RNAcentral describes it as "eukaryotic LSU rRNA". The stretch from base 171 to 324 matches the Rfam family "5.8S ribosomal RNA". The record is from RNAcentral. Lineage: Eukaryota; Fungi; Ascomycota; Sordariomycetes; Hypocreales; Stachybotryaceae.